Molecule: ribosomal RNA, 370 nt
Filed under: uncultured organism
Description: bacterial SSU rRNA
Rfam family: Bacterial small subunit ribosomal RNA
Source: RNAcentral
CGAGAGGCCCAAACGUUAUUCGGAUUUACUGGGCUUAAAGAGUUCGUAGGCGGUUCGGUAAGUGGGGUGUGAAAGCCCUCGGCUCAACCGAGGAAUUGCGCUCCAAACUGCCGGGCUCGAGGGAGAUAGAGGUGAGCGGAACUGAUGGUGGAGCGGUGAAAUGCGUUGAUAUCAUCAGGAACACCAGAGGCGAAGGCGGCUCACUGGGUCUCUUCUGACGCUGAGGAACGAAAGCUAGGGGAGCAAACGGGAUUAGAUACCCCGGGAGUCCUAGCCGUAAACGAUGAGCACUGGACCGGAGCUCUGCACAGGGUUUCGGUCGUAGCGAAAGUGUUAAGUGCUCCGCCUGGGGAGUAUGGUCGCAAGGCUG